UGCGUAGGUGGUUUCUUAAGUCAGGAGUGAAAGGCUACGGCUCAACCGUAGUAAGCUCUUGAAACUGGGAAACUUGAGUGCAGGAGAGGAAAGUGGAAUUCCUAGUGUAGCGGUGAAAUGCGUAGAUAUUAGGAGGAACGCCAGUAGCGAAGGCGGCUUUCUGGACUGUAACUGACACUGAGGCACGAAAGCGUGGGGAGGCAAAACA
Molecule: ribosomal RNA, 208 nt
Filed under: uncultured bacterium
Lineage: Bacteria
Description: partial 16S ribosomal RNA
Rfam family: Bacterial small subunit ribosomal RNA
Source: RNAcentral